AUUGAACGCUGGCGGCAGGCCUAACACAUGCAAGUCGAACGGUAACAGGAAGAAGCUUGCUUCUUUGCUGACGAGUGGCGGACGGGUGAGUAAUGUCUGGGAAACUGCCUGAUGGAGGGGGAUAACUACUGGAAACGGUAGCUAAUACCGCAUAACGUCGCAAGACCAAAGAGGGGGACCUUCGGGCCUCUUGCCAUCGGAUGUGCCCAGAUGGGAUUAGCUAGUAGGUGGGGUAACGGCUCACCUAGGCGACGAUCCCUAGCUGGUCUGAGAGGAUGACCAGCCACACUGGAACUGAGACACGGUCCAGACUCCUACGGGAGGCAGCAGUGGGGAAUAUUGCACAAUGGGCGCAAGCCUGAUGCAGCCAUGCCGCGUGUAUGAAGAAGGCCUUCGGGUUGUAAAGUACUUUCAGCGGGGAGGAAGGGAAUAAAGUUAAUACCUUUGCUCAUUGACGUUACCCGCAGAAGAAGCACCGGCUAACUCCGUG
This 490-nucleotide ribosomal RNA is filed under the name uncultured bacterium. RNAcentral describes it as "partial 16S ribosomal RNA". It matches the Rfam family "Bacterial small subunit ribosomal RNA", at positions 30 to 507 of the family's 1533-position model. The record is from RNAcentral.